GGGAGAGAGAGCCUGGCUGCCGCGAUGGUCGCGCCGGCGACGGCGGGACCACCACGACGUUGGCCACCCUUCCGGGUUGCCCAACGCACCUCACGUGACCCAUCCCUUCGGGAUGCGUCACGCUCCUAACGUGGCCCAUCUCUCCGAGAUGCGCCACGCUCGCGAGGAAAGUCCCCCCACCUGUUCGGGCAGGUGACCGGACGCAAGUCCGGAGCGGGAGACCGCUGGCUCUGGAACAGAAACGACACGUCUCGGCCCGACCGAUGAUGCGCGCGAACCCGACCGAGAGGAAGGGGAGUUGACCCGCUGAGGAUUGCGGUUGUGAAACCGUGGUUCGAAUCCACGGACCGUGUGCGCGGUUCGACGUGCCUUCGGCACGAGAAUCGCGAGUCACGGUCGACCGCACACGGACGGCCGAGGAUCGAUGGAACGGCGAACCCUCACCGGUGCAAGUCCGCGCCGUGGUAGCCCGAACGCCCCGCGGCUUCGCCGCGGACGGCGCGGACGCUCAGCCGAAUGCCGGGACGAACAGAAGGGGGCUUACUCCUCUCACCC
RNAcentral lists this RNase P RNA (555 nucleotides) under Natronococcus pandeyae. Its description in RNAcentral is "Natronococcus sp. LS1_42 RNase P RNA component". The stretch from base 146 to 551 matches the Rfam family "Archaeal RNase P". From Rfam's summary of the family: Ribonuclease P (RNase P) is a ubiquitous endoribonuclease, found in archaea, bacteria and eukarya as well as chloroplasts and mitochondria. Its best characterised activity is the generation of mature 5'-ends of tRNAs by cleaving the 5'-leader elements of precursor-tRNAs. Lineage: Archaea; Methanobacteriati; Methanobacteriota; Halobacteria; Halobacteriales; Natrialbaceae. The record is from RNAcentral.